GGUGAACGCUGGCGGCAGGCCUAACACAUGCAAGUCGAACGGCAGCACAAUAAGCGCUUUCCCUUACUGGUAGCGAGUGGCGGGUGGGUGAGACAUACAUAGGAUUCCACUUUUUCGGGGGUGAUAACGUAGAGCCGCAGAUGCUAAUAGCGCAUACUACCUACGGGAGGAAGCAAGAGAGCUUCGCGGUUUUGGUGUCAGAUAUAGCCGAUGCCGGAUUAGCUAGUUGGCAGGGUAAAGGCCCACCAAGGCGACGCACCGUAGCAGGUCUGAGAGGAUGAUCAGCCACACUGGAACUGAGACACGGUCCAGACUCCUACGGGAGGCAGCAGUAGGGAAUAUUGCGCAAUGGGCGCAAGCCUGACCCAGCCACGCCGCGUGAGUGAAGAAGGUCUUCGGGUUGUAAAACUCUUUUAUUAGGAAAGAAAAGAAGUGGAUGAAUCCGCGGCUGUCCUGACGGUACCUAAAGAGUAAGCACCGGCUAACUUCGUG
RNAcentral lists this ribosomal RNA (492 nucleotides) under uncultured bacterium. Its description in RNAcentral is "partial 16S ribosomal RNA". It matches the Rfam family "Bacterial small subunit ribosomal RNA", at positions 28 to 507 of the family's 1533-position model. The record is from RNAcentral.